GCGUGGCGUCGCCUCAGCGUGCGGCCGGGCCGCUCUCCGCCGGGGGUGCCGUGGUGGGUGCCCCAGCGCGGGCCCGCCGUGGGCGGCUGCGCUCGCACCGCUCCCGAAGGCUUCCGGCUGGAGGCGGCGGCCGGCUUUGCGAGGCCGCGAGGAGGCUGCGGUCUGUCUGGGGAGCGGCACGCGGUGUCUGGGCGCGGGGGCGGGGGCGGUCUGAGAGCCUGGAAAUCCCCUCUAGCAGCGGGAACGGGGCGUCCAGAGCAGAAGCUCAGUUGCUUUCUGGAGUAGCUGCCUCGCCACAGGCCUUUGUCGUGUCAGCCAAAACUUGCUUCUUUCGCAGGGUUCGGCGUGUCCCCUCUUCACGUGGCAGCCGCUGCCUGGAGGUUCUUGGUGGGUGCAGGAGGCUGGAGCAGAGGAUCAGACUGGUCCAGAAAAAGGCAAUAAAUGCAUUGGUUCCUGGCUCUGAAGAUACUUCUGACAUUGUGAUGAUGUGCAUCCUCUUCAUGGUCCAUAAUGAUAAAUAAAUUAAAAGUCUAUUGCAGGCUUUAAGUAAUACUUUUUUCCUCUGUGUAUUCCAGGCAGUCUAUUUUAAUUUUUUUCUGCCAUUUUCUGCAAAACUUCCGUGUUGAGAGAACAAAAUAUCAGCAGUUAUAAAUUGUCACAUGCAUUUGGAUGAAGUAGUUCAUCUUUUGUUGCAUUUUUACCUUACCAAAUAAGCCUGAUGUAGUGUGUUAGCUUUAAUUCAGAUUUUUAAAUGACAGCUACAGCAUACUAUUCUAGCUAAUGAAAAGUUAAAUGUGUUACAUUAAAAAUAUGUGUAUAUAGAUAGAUAGUGUUAAGUCUUUACUAGCCCAAGAAUAUGAGCUGGUUUAUAAGCUCAUCAUUACUAAAAUGGUCGAAGUCAUAGUUCCAGAAACACUCAGAGCAUCUGGAAAUAUGCUCACUUUGGCAUUUAAAAUUUGUUAGUUCUCCUCACUUUUAAAGGUGCCAGAUACCUUACAAGUCCAACUGAUUAUGACGUAAAUCCACCACAGUCCUUGCUUUUUAUUAUGACUUGCAGCUCCAUUUUGAAAUACAAAGGUUGAUAAAAAUUUCUCAGCUAGUCAAAAAGUCUGUAUAUGAGUUAAUUUACAUAAAGAUUAUAUCAGAAUGGUGAGUUCUAACUGUAGGUAGAGUGGGCAGUUUCUUAGGUAAAGUCCUACCUAUGGUCACACAAAGCCUGGAAAACCAGGCUGGAAAGGGUCAGGUUUUUGGCAGUGGCCCUUUCUGAGAGAGAGGUGGCACCACUCAGCAGCAGCAAUAUUUGCACCUUUCCUUUAAAGCAUCUUUUCUUUGGAGCAGCUAGCCCAAGUCUCCUAGACUUGUCCCUAUUGCUCUUUGUCCCCGUUCCAUCCCUUCUCUUUUUCUGGAAGGAAUACAGGCAAAAUGAUAUGUUGCCUAUACUGCUGAGAAAUUUUGAACCAACUCUUGAGUGUUAAGGCUAAGUGCAAUCUUGUAAUUAGUUCCAAAAACAAAAAAAAAAAAAGAUGGGGGAAUGCUGUUUUAUAUGUGAACAGUUUGUCCUUUUUAUCUUUGGAAUUUUCUAUUUAUGAAUGAACUACUGAAAUUGAGGUUUUGCUAUGUUCUGUUUUGCUUUUAAUAUAUUAAAAUCAAAAUUAAUAAUAUAAGAUUGCGUUGGAUUAUUAGAAAACAAUCAGGUAUCUUGUAUGUCUUUCUGUGGAUAGCUUUUCUAAAGAAGUUAUGGAUGUAACUUUAAAUGAGGGUGGUUUACAGUAUAAAUGGCAGAGAAUACUUUAAAUGUGCCACUGAUUGGCCCCUAAGUGUGUGCAAGACUGGAAGCAAGCUUUGAAGAGGCAAUAUGUUAAACUUUGUUUAUACAAAAUUGUUUUAAUAGGCCUGUUGAGGGUCUUCAGAUGUUUUGAUUAAGAUUUUUCUUCCCUUCUCCUCAGUCCUUUCACAUUAAAUUUAAAACUUCUUUUUA
Long non-coding RNA from Dromaius novaehollandiae (emu), 1978 nucleotides. RefSeq lists it as uncharacterized. Lineage: Eukaryota; Metazoa; Chordata; Aves; Casuariiformes; Dromaiidae. The record is from RefSeq and is a predicted model, not a curated record. The transcript has 2 exons.